RNAcentral lists this ribosomal RNA (136 nucleotides) under uncultured eukaryote. Its description in RNAcentral is "partial 18S ribosomal RNA". It matches the Rfam family "Eukaryotic small subunit ribosomal RNA", at positions 1299 to 1458 of the family's 1831-position model. The record is from RNAcentral.
UGGUGGAGUGAUUUGUCUGGUUAAUUCGAUAACGAACGAGACCUUAAUCUGCUAAAUAGAAUCGCAAACGCAAGUUUGUGCAUUCUUCUUAGAGAGACUGGCUGCAUGUAGUAGUCGGAAGUUUGAGGCAAUAACA